UACGCAGGGUGCAAGCGUUAAUCGGAAUUACUGGGCGUAAAGUGUGCGCAGGCGGCCGAGCAUGUCGAGUGUGAAAGCCCCGGGCUUAACCUGGGAACUGCGCUCGAAACUACUUGGCUGGAGUGUGGCAGAGGAAGGUGGAAUUCCACGUGUAGCGGUGAAAUGCGUAGAGAUGUGGAGGAACACCGAUGGCGAAGGCAGCCUUCUGGGCCAACACUGACGCUCAUGCACGAAAGCGUGGGGAGCAAACAGG
This 253-nucleotide ribosomal RNA is filed under the name uncultured bacterium. Its description in RNAcentral is "partial 16S ribosomal RNA". It matches the Rfam family "Bacterial small subunit ribosomal RNA", at positions 524 to 776 of the family's 1533-position model. The record is from RNAcentral.